RNAcentral lists this ribosomal RNA (415 nucleotides) under uncultured bacterium. RNAcentral describes it as "bacterial SSU rRNA". It matches the Rfam family "Bacterial small subunit ribosomal RNA", at positions 355 to 767 of the family's 1533-position model. The record is from RNAcentral.
UGAGGAAUAUUGGGCAAUGCCCGCAAGGGUGACCCAGCAACGCCGCGUGGAGGAUGAAUGUCGUAAGAUUGUAAACUCCUGUUAGAGGGGAAGAAUAGUACCGGUUGGACCGGUAUAUGACUGUACCCUCAGAGAAAGCCCCGGCUAACUACGUGCCAGCAGCCGCGGUAAUCCGUAGGGGGCAAGCGUUGUCCGGAUUUACUGGGUGUAAAGGGCGCGCAGGCGGGAUAAAAAGUCAGUGGUGAAAUCCUACAGCUUAACUGUAGAACUGCCUUUGAUACUUUUAUUCUUGAGUUCGGGAGAGAGAGACGGAAUUCCAGGUGUAGUGGUGAAAUACGUAGAUAUCUGGAAGAACACCAGUUGCGAAGGCGGUCUCUUGGUCCGACACUGACGCUGAGGCGCGAAAGCGUGGGGA